CGGCGUGGACGACCUCGCCGCGGCCCUGGCGGAUUUCGGGCCGACCCGG
This 49-nucleotide non-coding RNA is filed under the name Nostocoides jenkinsii. Its description in RNAcentral is "Tetrasphaera jenkinsii Guanidine-II sequence". It matches the Rfam family "Guanidine-II riboswitch aptamer (mini-ykkC)". Rfam says of the family: Simpler in structure and has fewer highly conserved nucleotide positions than the ykkC-yxkD leader. Lineage: Bacteria; Bacillati; Actinomycetota; Actinomycetes; Micrococcales; Intrasporangiaceae. RNAcentral also lists the same sequence under 1 other name. The record is from RNAcentral.